This 287-nucleotide ribosomal RNA is filed under the name uncultured bacterium. RNAcentral's name for it is "partial 16S ribosomal RNA". It matches the Rfam family "Bacterial small subunit ribosomal RNA", at positions 775 to 1067 of the family's 1533-position model. The record is from RNAcentral.
GGAUUAGAUACCCUGGUAGUCUACGCCGUAAACGAUGGAUACUAGUUGUUUGGAAUUCGUUCUGAGUGACUAAGCGAAAGUGAUAAGUAUCCCACCUGGGGAGUACGUUCGCAAGAAUGAAACUCAAAGGAAUUGACGGGGGCCCGCACAAGCGGUGGAGCAUGUGGUUUAAUUCGAUGAUACGCGAGGAACCUUACCAGGGCUUAAAUGUGGAAUGACAGGUUUAGAGAUAGACUUUUCUUCGGACAUUUCACAAGGUGCUGCAUGGUUGUCGUCAGCUCGUGCCG